RNAcentral lists this long non-coding RNA (729 nucleotides) under Scleropages formosus (Asian bonytongue). RNAcentral's name for it is "lncRNA (ENSSFOG00015030503.1)". The record is from RNAcentral. Lineage: Eukaryota; Metazoa; Chordata; Actinopteri; Osteoglossiformes; Osteoglossidae.
AAUUUUUUUACUGCAGUGGAUUGUUUUACACGUUUGUUUGUAAUAUUUAAAUGCCUGCGCUAUGUGCUCUAUUAUUGGUCCGCUGUGUUUUUUCCACAUGCUUACGCAGAGGUUUGUCAUAGACUGCAGAGAAUAGAAGAGCUGCUGCGCUCGCGUUCCCUGACGCGUUUUCCGCUCACAGUAGAAUAAAGACGCAUAGAUUAUUUUAGCCAACGCUACGUAGUCCAUGAUUGGUUGGGAGCGUCGCGAGCGCAGCUCGUUCCUCGCCUCCCGCUGGCGGCACUUGUGGAGCCGACUGUUCACAAAUCGUGUCCUUAGUAAAGUUUCGCUGUUCAAAAUUGGAAAUGGCUUCCAUGACAACUAUCGCGUCUGCGGAAGCCUGUUUAGAGAGCCAAGAUGACUUUGUCCCUGCGGUUAAAGAAUUCCGAAACUGGAAAGAAAAAGUAGCCCUGCAGAAGAAGGCAGAGUUCCUCCGAAAUGCAGAGAAGUUUAAGAAACAAAUUGACAUUCUUGAAAAAGAGAGGAGCCUGAAUAUUCGGAAUAAGAGAAAUGCUUUCAGAAACGGCUUCGAGGAGCUGGAAGAAUUGGAAAGUGCGCUUCAAAAAGACAGGAGGACUGAGAGUAAGGAACGUUUUAACAUUUGAAAUUUUAUUCAGUUCAGUUUCCAUGUGCUUGUCCUGGGAUGGGUCACCAUCAGUUUUAGUGUUUAUUCCCAGGAGUGGCUUUAUA